This 450-nucleotide ribosomal RNA is filed under the name uncultured bacterium. RNAcentral's name for it is "partial 16S ribosomal RNA". It matches the Rfam family "Bacterial small subunit ribosomal RNA", at positions 354 to 796 of the family's 1533-position model. The record is from RNAcentral.
GUGGGGAAUUUUGGACAAUGGGCGAAAGCCUGAUCCAGCCAUGCCGCGUGCAGGAUGAAGGCCUUCGGGUUGUAAACUGCUUUUGUACGGAACGAAAAGACUCUGGUUAAUACCUGGGGUCCAUGACGGUACCGUAAGAAUAAGCACCGGCUAACUACGUGCCAGCAGCCGCGGUAAUACGUAGGGUGCAAGCGUUAAUCGGAAUUACUGGGCGUAAAGCGUGCGCAGGCGGUUAUAUAAGACAGAUGUGAAAUCCCCGGGCUCAACCUGGGAACUGCAUUUGUGACUGUAUAGCUAGAGUACGGCAGAGGGGGAUGGAAUUCCGCGUGUAGCAGUGAAAUGCGUAGAUAUGCGGAGGAACACCGAUGGCGAAGGCAAUCCCCUGGGCCUGCACUGACGCUCAUGCACGAAAGCGUGGGGAGCAAACAGGAUUAGAUACCCUUGUAGUCC